GGUCGCAUAGCUCAGUUGGUAGAGCACUACGUUCACAUCGUAGGGGUCACAGGUUCAAGUCCUGUUGCGACCACCA
RNAcentral lists this transfer RNA (76 nucleotides) under Holosporales bacterium. Its description in RNAcentral is "tRNA-Val". It matches the Rfam family "tRNA". From Rfam's summary of the family: Transfer RNA (tRNA) molecules are approximately 80 nucleotides in length. Their secondary structure includes four short double-helical elements and three loops (D, anti-codon, and T loops). Lineage: Bacteria; Pseudomonadati; Pseudomonadota; Alphaproteobacteria; Holosporales. The record is from RNAcentral.